This 497-nucleotide ribosomal RNA is filed under the name uncultured bacterium. RNAcentral's name for it is "bacterial SSU rRNA". It matches the Rfam family "Bacterial small subunit ribosomal RNA", at positions 25 to 518 of the family's 1533-position model. The record is from RNAcentral.
CAGGAUGAACGCUAGCGACAGGCCUAACACAUGCAAGUCAGGGGCAGCACAAGGAGCAAUCUGAGGUGGCGACCGGCGCACGGGUGAGUAACACGUAUGCAACCUGCCUGUAAGCGGGGAAUAACCCGUUGAAAGACGGACUAAUACCGCAUAAUACUAAAUUACUGCAUGGUAAUUUAUUUAAACAUUUAUGGCUUACAGAUGGGCAUGCGCAUGAUUAGCUAGUUGGAGAGGUAACGGCUCCCCAAGGCAACGAUCAUUAGGGGUUCUGAGAGGAAGGUCCCCCACACUGGUACUGAGACACGGACCAGACUCCUACGGGAGGCAGCAGUGAGGAAUAUUGGUCAAUGGACGAGAGUCUGAACCAGCCAAGUCGCGUGCAGGAAGAAUGUCCUAUGGAUUGUAAACUGCUUUUGCAGGGGAAUAAAGUGCAUCACGUGUGAUGUUUUGUAUGUACUCUGCGAAUAAGGAUCGGCUAACUCCGUGCCAGCCGCCGC